This 429-nucleotide ribosomal RNA is filed under the name Bacteroidota bacterium. Its description in RNAcentral is "Bacteroidetes bacterium partial 16S ribosomal RNA". It matches the Rfam family "Bacterial small subunit ribosomal RNA", at positions 355 to 776 of the family's 1533-position model. The record is from RNAcentral. Lineage: Bacteria; Pseudomonadati; Bacteroidota.
UAGGGAAUCUUCCGCAAUGGACGCAAGUCUGACGGAGCAACGCCGCGUGAGUGAAGAAGGAUUUCGGUUCUUAAAACUCUGUUGUUAGAGAAGAACAGCGCAUAGAGUAACUGUUAUGCGUGUGACGGUAUCUAACCAGAAAGCCACGGCUAACUACGUGCCAGCAGCCGCGGUAAUACGUAGGUGGCAAGCGUUGUCCGGAUUUAUUGGGCGUAAAGCGAGCGCAGGCGGUCAAUUAAGUCUGAUGUGAAAGCCCCCGGCUCAACCGGGGAGGGUCAUUGGAAACUGGUUGACUUGAGUGCAGAAGAGGAGAGUGGAAUUCCAUGUGUAGCGGUGAAAUGCGUAGAUAUAUGGAGGAACACCGGUGGCGAAAGCGGCUCUCUGGUCUGUAACUGACGCUGAGGCUCGAAAGCGUGGGGAGCGAACAGG